UCAUCAGUAUGGUGUAAUCCUUACCUGUGGAUGACUAAUGUUGUCCUCAGUAAGGCACGUGAUGACGCGGGGCUAAAUGAUCUUCAGAUUAUACGCUCCGGGCCUGAAGGACAACAACACCCUUUACGGCCUGAGUCUGAU
This is a small nucleolar RNA of Hydractinia symbiolongicarpus, 141 nucleotides long. RefSeq annotates it as U8 small nucleolar RNA. Lineage: Eukaryota; Metazoa; Cnidaria; Hydrozoa; Anthoathecata; Hydractiniidae. The record is from RefSeq and is a predicted model, not a curated record. The transcript has a single exon.